CCUGCGUCCGCGCGCCGGGCUCCCCGCCCCUUCGCCGCUGCCGAGCGCAGGUCAGGAGAGGAGAAGGAGGGGGGGAGCGCCGCGUGGAGCUGCCUUCCCAUUGGCCGCUGGCCGGAGUCCUUCUCCUCCUGCCUUGCUGGGCUCUCCCGGGAGCGAGGACGUCGGCGGGGGCCGAUUGUCGCCGCCUGCGGCUAGUGCGGCCGGGAUUGCAGCCGCAAAAUGCUGGAGGAUUUGACCAGGGAUGUGAUGAGUUGAAAGGCGGCGGCGGCGGCGGCCCGAGAGUGUUGUUUUCCUUUCUGAGGAGUGGCAGCUAUCAUGACUGUCUUCAGGCAAGAGAACCUGGAUGAUCACUAUGAGAUCGGGGAGGAACUUGGAAGAUGUUUUAAGCAAUCGGCUCAUCAUGCAAUUUCAGAAGACCAAAGCAGAUUUCGGUGGAAAUGAUUAUGAAAUGCAAGCAAAUAUAAGCCUGUUUCUGUUUAGUUCUCUUGCGGUUGCAAGCAGUGUGGCUGUGCAUUUUAAAUAAACAAUUCUGCCGUUCUUUUAUGAUA
Podarcis muralis (Common wall lizard) is the source of this 548-nucleotide non-coding RNA. Lineage: Eukaryota; Metazoa; Chordata; Lepidosauria; Squamata; Lacertidae. The record is from RefSeq and is a predicted model, not a curated record.